GUGGGUAGUUUGACUGGGGCGGUCUCCUCCCAAAGAGUAACGGAGGAGCACGAAGGUUGGCUAAUCCUGGUCGGACAUCAGGAGGUUAGUGCAAUGGCAUAAGCCAGCUUGACUGCGAGCGUGACGGCGCGAGCAGGUGCGAAAGCAGGUCAUAGUGAUCCGGUGGUUCUGAAUGGAAGGGCCAUCGCUCAACGGAUAAAAGGUACUCCGGGGAUAACAGGCUGAUACCGCCCAAGAGUUCAUAUCGACGGCGGUGUUUGGCACCUCGAUGUCGGCUCAUCACAUCCUGGGGCUGAAGUAGGUCCCAAGGGUAUGGCUGUUCGCCAUUUAAAGUGGUACGCGAGCUGGGUUUAGAACGUCGUGAGACAGUUCGGUCCCUAUCUGCCGUGGGCGCUGGAGAAUUGAGGGGGGCUGCUCCUAGUACGAGAGGACCGGAGUGGACGCAUCACUGGUGUUCGGGUUGUCAUGCCAAUGGCACUGCCCGGUAGCUAAAUGCGGAAGAGAUAAGUGCUGAAAGCAUCUAAGCACGAAACUUGCCCCGAGAUGAGUUCUCCCUGAGACUUUAAGUCUCCUGAAGGAACGUUGAAGACGACGACGUUGAUAGGUCGGGUGUGUAAGCGCAGCGAUGCGUUGAGCUAACCGAUACUAAUGAACCGUGAGGCUUAACCUUACAACGCCGAAGGUGUUU
This 688-nucleotide ribosomal RNA is filed under the name Enterobacter hormaechei. Its description in RNAcentral is "partial 23S ribosomal RNA". It matches the Rfam family "Bacterial large subunit ribosomal RNA", at positions 2261 to 2925 of the family's 2925-position model. The record is from RNAcentral. RNAcentral also lists the same sequence under 2 other names. Lineage: Bacteria; Pseudomonadati; Pseudomonadota; Gammaproteobacteria; Enterobacterales; Enterobacteriaceae.